This 513-nucleotide ribosomal RNA is filed under the name Triticum aestivum (bread wheat). RNAcentral's name for it is "partial small subunit ribosomal RNA". Lineage: Eukaryota; Viridiplantae; Streptophyta; Magnoliopsida; Poales; Poaceae. The record is from RNAcentral.
AUGCCGCACGCCGCCCAUCCCGAAGACAUAAUUGCGGAGUUGACUUCCAAGGUUGAAAGAAUAUUUCACGAAGUAGGCACUCCUCUUCCUUUAGAGGAAGGUGAAUCUGCACGAUCGUUCACUGAAAAUCAUGUAUUGUGGAAUAGUGAGGGAGGAGAUACUCUUCAACAAAUCUUCUCCGAUUAUACAGAAGCCGGGGACGCAAGCGAAUUCGUCGCAAUAGCCACCAAUCUGGCGAAGCGGUUUCGCCACGCUGAGCUCGGUGAACCGGAUUCUCCCGACCCCGAUGCGCCUUUGGAAGAGCAGGAGGCUCAUUCCACAGGAUCCCCUGGAAGCACAAAAGAAAAUGAUGGGGCGAACGAGGUAGGACCGUCUUCUUUGCGGAAGCGUAAAAGGUGGGAUGAUGAUUCGGGGUCCAAAGAUGAUGAUUCGGGGGGCCCCAGGGAAUCUCUAGAUCUAGUGGAAAUCGUUUACGAAGGGGAUGCACAAGGGUACAACUGGGAGGGGAAUUAG